GACGAACGCUGGCGGCGUGCUUAACACAUGCAAGUCGAACGGAAAGGCCCUGCUUUUGUGGGGUGCUCGAGUGGCGAACGGGUGAGUAACACGUGAGUAACCUGCCCUUGACUUUGGGAUAACUUCAGGAAACUGGGGCUAAUACCGGAUAGGAGCUCCUGCUGCAUGGUGGGGGUUGGAAAGUUUCGGCGGUUGGGGAUGGACUCGCGGCUUAUCAGCUUGUUGGUGGGGGAGUGGCUUACCAAGGCUUUGACGGGUAGCCGGCCUGAGAGGGUGACCGGGCACAAUGGGACUGCGGGACGGACCAGACGCCUACGGGGGGCAGUAGGGGGGAAUAUUGCACAAUGGGCGGAAGCCUGAUGCAGCAACGCCGCGGGCGGGAUGACGGCCUUCGGGUUGUAAACCGCUUUCGCCUGUGACGAAGCGUGAGUGACGGUAAUGGGUAAAGAAGCACCGGCUAACUACGUG
This 468-nucleotide ribosomal RNA is filed under the name uncultured bacterium. RNAcentral describes it as "partial 16S ribosomal RNA". It matches the Rfam family "Bacterial small subunit ribosomal RNA", at positions 28 to 507 of the family's 1533-position model. The record is from RNAcentral.